Molecule: long non-coding RNA, 1056 nt
Filed under: Sorghum bicolor (sorghum)
Lineage: Eukaryota; Viridiplantae; Streptophyta; Magnoliopsida; Poales; Poaceae
Description: long non-coding RNA (SBIC_LNC005691)
Source: RNAcentral
GCCUUCACAUGCGGGUAAGCGUCGAACACAGAUGCGUAGGGCGUAGCAAACAGGCAGAGAGUGGCAGAUACAUGGUUAAGGUCAGCAAGGCUCAGGAAGUCUCCAGCAAGAUACUUGCACUUGGUCAGACGUGCCUCGUACACCUCUAGCACCUUCUUCAGCUUCUCAAGGUUCUCAUCCACAACUUUCUGGUCGGUGGUUCCUCCAAGCAUCGGACUGAUGAGAACCUGGAAGAGGAUGGGAUUCAAUACAGAGGUGUACUGGUUUGCCUCCACCUCCAUCCAAACAUCCACCAUUGCUGACUCCUCAAGGUUUCCUACCCUCAACAGCUCUGGUUUGUUUUUGCGAGCAGCAUACUUGCAGAUUGCACGUGAUUCUGGCACCACAGAUGAAAAAUAUUUAAAUAAGAAUAAAAUUAGAAAAUCAACAUCAUUAGUAGAUGCAAAAUGAUUCUACAAACACUUCUCAGAAAGCAAUAAUUAAAUACAAAAAAAGGCAUACCAUCUCUGCACUUGAUUAAAUACAUGCCCUGAUGAGUCAAGAGUGAAAUAAUGUGUUUAUUUUAAUAUGCUUACUGAACUCAUUCAUGUUUGCCAAUCAAUUCACUCCUAUAGAACAGACAGCACAAGAUGAAACAGAACAAGAUAACCAAAAGUCAAAUUCGGAUUCCUUUCAGCUUUGGUUUUUAUAUACGACAUAAUAGAACACUUCCUUAUUGGACUAGUGGGGAAAAACUUGAACACAUGGUAACCAUGUCAAAUAUGCAAUCCCCAUGGUGCAAUGACACUUUGCAAUCAGACAACCAUUUUUUAACAUCAUGGUGUAUAUAUAAAUGUUGUUUCCUUUAGUAUCUCUUAAGAACAUGUGCUUCUAGCAAUCAGACAUUUUUUUAAUAUCUCUUAAGAACAUGUGCUUCUAACAAAAUCUGAGAUAUCAUUUAAGUGGACAUUGAAGCGCUAGCCAUGUCACAAAUUUAUGAAACGGUUAAUAAUACCAACAACAGGCGAAUUAGUCACAGCAACAAUGUAUUAAAAACAACCCUAUUUCCGUGGAAGA